This 65-nucleotide transfer RNA is filed under the name Euprymna sp. Type 1 GS-2021. RNAcentral describes it as "tRNA-Ile". RNAcentral also lists the same sequence under 1 other name. Lineage: Eukaryota; Metazoa; Mollusca; Cephalopoda; Sepiida; Sepiolidae. The record is from RNAcentral.
GACACUGCGCCGGUAUGAACGGAUUAUAUUGAUGUUAUAAAAUAUAAGGUAACCCUUCUGUGUUU